GCAAGUCGAGCGAGACGGUUAUGAAAGAUCCUUCGGGUGAUUGAUUAACUAGAAAGCGGCGGACGGGUGAGUAACGCGUGAGUAACCUGCCCCAUACACAGGGAUAGCCAUUGGAAACGAUGAUUAAUACCUGAUAACACAUAUAUAACACAUGUUAAUUAUGUCAAAGAUUUAUCGGUAUGGGAUGGACUCGCGUCUGAUUAGCUAGUUGGUAAGGUAACGGCUUACCAAGGCGACGAUGGAUAGCCGGCCUGAGAGGGUGAAC
This 265-nucleotide ribosomal RNA is filed under the name uncultured bacterium. Its description in RNAcentral is "partial 16S ribosomal RNA". It matches the Rfam family "Bacterial small subunit ribosomal RNA", at positions 57 to 305 of the family's 1533-position model. The record is from RNAcentral.